CCCCCUUUUUUUUUCCUGACACUAAGCUUCUCCAUCUCAAUUGAAGAGUAAUGGACAUGGCUGCAGCGAGCCGAAAACCCCACUUGAAAUGGUGAUCGAUCACAAUGACUACGAAGAUGGAGAGCCACCGAAAGUGACAAGUUUGAAGCGCAAAUACCCUCGAAAUGAGUUCCUGGACCCCGGAGAGGACCCCUAGUUAAUUUGUAGCAGAUCCCAGGGGCUUUGAGAUUGUAGUUCAAUAUCCUGCUAAGCAGUCAUCGUCCUCAUUGAAAAGCUAGCGACCCCAGACUUGAGCUAAAUAAUGUAGUUUGAGAGAUAAUAUACACGAAGGAUGGAGUUGCAGCCAAAGCUGAAGAUGGUUCCAAUAUUUACAUGGCCAGGUAAGCUAUUGUCUCUGUAAGCGUUGGAGUCCUCCAAACUGACCUGAUUGAUUUCAGGCCUAAGUUACGUCUAUGGAAAAGACUUGCAAUAUCCGAUUUUAGCAUGACCAUAUAUACCAAGAAAUUCCUAAGAUUUCCUUAAUAGUUCUGGCCACCUGAACCUGGAACCGAGUUCUUCACUCCUGUUUGG
This is a long non-coding RNA of Populus euphratica (Euphrates poplar), 570 nucleotides long. RefSeq lists it as uncharacterized. NCBI's taxonomy places the organism in Eukaryota, Viridiplantae, Streptophyta, Magnoliopsida, Malpighiales, Salicaceae. The record is from RefSeq and is a predicted model, not a curated record. The transcript has 3 exons.